Molecule: unclassified non-coding RNA, 308 nt
Filed under: Methylophilus rhizosphaerae
Lineage: Bacteria; Pseudomonadati; Pseudomonadota; Betaproteobacteria; Nitrosomonadales; Methylophilaceae
Description: Long range pseudoknot
Source: RNAcentral
ACCGAUGAUGGUGAUUACAAUAUUAAAUUACGCAAUAUCAUCCGUUUCCUGGGUGAUGGCGAUAAGGCAAAGAUUACAUUGCGUUUUCGUGGCCGUGAAAUUACGCACCAGGAAUUUGGCUUGGCGUUAUUGAAACGCCUGGAAGCAGAUUUAACCGAGCAUGCACUGGUUGAGCAGUAUCCGAAAAUGGAAGGCCGCCAGAUGGUGAUGGUGUUGGCACCCGCGAAAAAAGCACCGCCGAAAAAAGCCGGUGAAAAAGAAGUAUCAGGCGCAUAAAGUAUUCAGGCAAUACAGGAUUUUUUGGAGUA